GUGCUGCUUCGGCAAUACAUAUACUAAAACUGGAAUGAUAAAGAGAAGAUUAGCGUGCCCCCUGGGCAAGGAUGGGACGCAAAUUCAUGAAGUGUUCCAUAUUUUU
RNAcentral lists this small nuclear RNA (106 nucleotides) under Monodon monoceros (narwhal). The record is from RNAcentral. Lineage: Eukaryota; Metazoa; Chordata; Mammalia; Artiodactyla; Monodontidae.